CCCUGCCAUUUGUACACACCGCCCGUCGCUCCUACCGAUUGAAUGGUCCGGUGAAAUCUUUGGACCACCGGACGGAGUUGGUCCGCCAACCCUGUCUGAGUGGGAAGUUGAUUAAACCUUAUCAUUUAGAGGAAGGAGAAGUCGUAACAA
This 150-nucleotide ribosomal RNA is filed under the name uncultured eukaryote. Its description in RNAcentral is "partial small subunit ribosomal RNA". It matches the Rfam family "Eukaryotic small subunit ribosomal RNA", at positions 1651 to 1797 of the family's 1831-position model. The record is from RNAcentral.